Molecule: long non-coding RNA, 1305 nt
Organism: Drosophila hydei
Lineage: Eukaryota; Metazoa; Arthropoda; Insecta; Diptera; Drosophilidae
Exons: 3
Source: RefSeq, a predicted model, not a curated record
GUUACUACUCCAAAUAAAGUUGCACAGUUUAAUAUAAGUGAUAUUUUUCAAAGACCAUUCGCAUGUCAAUUUGUGAAAACGCUUGGCAUUCCACACAAUGAUUUUGAGCUUAUCCAAAAAUGAGAAACUAAUUUUAAUUAGUUUAAUUUUAGUUUCACAAUUUCUUAGUUUCUUAAAGAACUCAAAGGUAAGAGUUGUGAAUUCGGCCUGCCUACUGAAUCCAGUGGCCUAGUCCAGGAUGACUAACAGAAUAUGAAAUUACGCAUUGAGAUUUGAUAGUGUCCUCCGAAAUUUAUAUGUGGAGCCGUUCUGGAGGCCAAUUGAAAAGGAAUGAUGUGUUUAUUGAUAGCUGAUUCUAAUACACCCACGCCCACUUCCAAUUUCUGAAUCACUGUUUGCAAGAUGAAGCAAUCAGCAAUGUUGGAAAUAACUUUAAAAUUCAAUGUGUGAAGAUAUGUCAACUUCCGUCGUUUUAAUUGAAAUUUGGUUAGAAUCUAGGCGAUCAAUUGAGAUGUACACAUAUGCCUGUAUAAAUACAAACAGGUUCCGAGUGCUAUACAUAUAUAUUGUUUGCAACGGUAGCUGAAAUCGCCAAUAUCUAUACUGUUGGAAGAAGACACGGAGGACGAAAAAAGCAUUAUGAACUUUGCGGGGUUCAGUAUACCUCCCACCUGUGUUGCCUGCAGGCACACGAAGAAGAUAAUGAGGAGCCACCCGGAAACCAGAAAAUAAAAGCACAACCAUGCUGUUCGACUCCAGAGUACUCCGAAAUUGCUAAACAUUGGGAAAAUGGAGGUUUCCCUUAGAUGGCACGACAGAGCAGCAUGAGGAGCAUGUGGAGUGGUCAGCAGAGACGUAUGGCUUGAAACUGAAAGCGAUGUCGGAGAUGCUUUAAGACGUUGCGGCACAGUGGUCAACGUUUGUGAGGGUAGAGUAUUUUCUGUCAAAAUAUUACUUUGAAAACUUAAAGGCCGAAGUCACUCAUCAUGUGAGCACUGCAGAGUGUGAACUGAAGUACAUCUACAACAAAAGCUUCACCGAUCUUCACGCAUAUGUCCGCCUAUAUCAAUUUUGCAGCUUAACGAUGGUGAUGCUGCUGGCAGACGUGCUCGAGAAUCUGGAAAACGAUUAACCUGAUUAGUUUCGGCAGCAACAAAUUCCAAAUAGAACGCGGUUCAUAGCCAUGUACGAUGCAGAGUGCCCAAUCGAGGAUGUCUAGCCCCGAAGCACGGAGGGCGAAAGCACUUCAACUUGUGACAGGUAUUCAAGGAAAAGCGUGAUAUCAUGACAUUGGUAUACGUAUAA